CUUAACUAAUCAGUGAUCAAACAGUUUGACUCAUGGUGCAGCACAACCACAAAUAACCGCGUUGCAGCAAUAUCGAGCACUGAGCUUCUCCCCAGGGAAUUCCGCAUCUGCCUUUGGUUUCCCCGGCCUCCUUGAUCGCUAAUCACACGCAUCUGACAGCACACACGCAGCGUUGUGAGUACUUCUCAUAGUAAUGGAGAGUAAGACAAUGCAAGUGCACAAGUGAACACAACACCAAUUUCCAGUAAUAACCUCGAGUUGUACAUAAAGUGCCAACUGAAGAAGGUCUGGGUGGUGAUGACAUUUCCAUUUUAAAGAUUCAUGCAGUUCUGGUGACAGGUCUGUCAUUCAACCGAUGCAAUAAAGGUCGGGGCUUUGCUCUGGACUGAAACGCAGC
Molecule: long non-coding RNA, 397 nt
Organism: Amblyraja radiata (thorny skate)
Lineage: Eukaryota; Metazoa; Chordata; Chondrichthyes; Rajiformes; Rajidae
Exons: 3
Source: RefSeq, a predicted model, not a curated record